This 221-nucleotide non-coding RNA is filed under the name Desulforamulus ruminis. RNAcentral's name for it is "Desulfotomaculum ruminis T-box sequence". It matches the Rfam family "T-box leader". Rfam says of the family: Uncharged tRNA acts as the effector for transcription antitermination of genes in the T-box leader family. The record is from RNAcentral. Lineage: Bacteria; Bacillati; Bacillota; Clostridia; Eubacteriales; Peptococcaceae.
UAUUUGGCUAUGAAGGGGAAAAGUAAGCCGGUACGAUCGUUCAGAGAGGGAGAGCCAUAGGCUGUAAGCUCUUCCCGGUACAGCAGGCUGAAAGACCACCCCGGAGCUGUUUGCUGAAAAUCAAGUAAGCAAACCGGAUGACACCGUUAUCGUCCUUGAAGGUGGGAGAAUUGGAUUUUCUCCAACCAGGGUGGAACCGCGGAUAUGAACCCGUCCCUGUA